CAUCAUAUGAUUUAUUGUUCGAGAGGUAGGAACUUUCUGUUGCCCACAAAGAAGAAGGAGCUUCGAGGAGGCGUAGGGAUCUUUUCUUUGUGAGAAGAAGAGGAAGGAAGGAGCUUAAAAGCCUCCUUCUUUAGGGUUAGGUUUCUCGAAUGGAUGGCGGUGGCAAGAGGAGGGAGAGGAGCGUCUUAAAAUUCUCCUUCUUUGGGUGUUAGGUUUGCCGGAUAGCGGUUCUUUCACUCUCCUUUGCGUCUAUGUAUAACGAAGGUGGACGCACUCUCCUACUAGGGCAAGUAUGUCGUCUCCUCAAGGUUCAACUAGAUCGGCACGAUCGGGAGCUCGCCUUCAGGUAGCUACCGCUACUACCUUCGCGUACCGCCGUGCGGCUCCUGGCUGCGGCCGCCCUCGUCCCACCUCAGGCUCGUCUCCUUCGAUGCCGCGCAGCUCGAGGGGAGUACCAGGACGGGAGGGUUGGCCGGAGGCCCGUGGACUCGACUCGGACGAGACACAAGAACAGAAGACGAAUGAGGAGAGAGAGCUAAACGGAGAAACUAAACACAAGGAUGCUGAGCAUCAGACUCCCUCGUUCGAUGCUAGGAACACGGGAAGAGGAAGAACACAGACUAGGACAGGAGGACGCCGCGUUGCUGUGCCGAAACGAGGGGUUCCCAGAGCGGUAAAGACUCCGCUAACUGGAACCCUCUUCCAGAAAAAACUGGACAGACCUGGUGGCACAAGAACCCUUGGUCCGGCAGCCAGAGCGACAACAAAGGAAGGACAACCGGAGGCAACAGACGCGAGCGUCAAUGUGUCCAGUUAUAUAAGAACCCUUUGACCCCGCAAGAACGAAACGUCGGAGGACGAGGACAGAACAGCAACAGCGCUUCUAGACACUGUAAGCCCUGUUGUUCAUAUGAGCCAAGAACCGGGACCACGGACAUUUUUAGGAACAAAGCGUCCGCAGUUCGAACAGAGGGGGCACCGUCAAGUUCUUUGGUAUAAGACUGGGUCGACGCGUAAAGUGGAGCUGCCAAAGAGAGAUUCGAAGUAGGUCAUGCGAGAGCUAGAGUGCAGGAAACCGGAACACCCUGCUCUACUUGAGACCGGGGAAGUCGCCGCGCCACCCCGAGAUGCUACCCAAAAUGCCACCAAAGCCGCCGCCCGUACCUGUACUUGUACCGAAACCGGUCGUAGACCCUCGCAGCUGCAGCAGCAGCCAGGACGACCUACCGCCCUGCCCCCUCGACCGGCGUCGGCGGCGGCGCCUGCACGGCUUCUCCUUCCCCCCUCGCGCCCUCCUCUUUCGCCGCUGCCGGGAAUCCUCGGUGUCGCUUCGCCUCGCCGCCGCCUCCCUCUCCUAGUUGCGCGUGGAGCGGUGCGAGGCCUCGUACCAGGGGACGUGGCCGUUCUACCUGUUCCGCCGCGACGAGCGCCUCCACUAUUUGGUGCAAUUCUUCGAGUUCUCGCUCCGCCGCGCCCACCCGUCCGUGACGGGGCAGGGCAGGCCGCGGCUGCUCCAGUGGCACCUCCAGCAGGUCGUUGGCGUUCUUAGGGGGGUUGUGUCGGCGCGGCCGCGGCGGAAGGAGCAGUUCCGCUGCGAGUCGACGCCGCUGCCGACGCGCCUGGAGAAGCGGCUGCACUCCGCGCGCGACGUCGGCGAGCGCGGCUCCCAGCAGCCGAGCCUCCAGUGGUGCGACCCGCCCGCGCAGGCCUAGUGGCAGCGGUACAACGCGCUCCCGCGGCACUGCCGCCGGAGCCAGGCGGCCCGCGAGCUGAGCCACGAGCUGUCCCAGCGGUCGCGGCGGCGGCGGAAGCUCAAGAGCGGCUCCCUGAGCGAGGACCGGUCGUUUGCGGCCUCCCAGAGCUGCAAGCUGAGGAGGUCGAGAAGAAGAACUCUGCCGGC
Molecule: ribosomal RNA, 1900 nt
Filed under: Triticum aestivum (bread wheat)
Lineage: Eukaryota; Viridiplantae; Streptophyta; Magnoliopsida; Poales; Poaceae
Description: partial small subunit ribosomal RNA
Source: RNAcentral